Molecule: long non-coding RNA, 1006 nt
Filed under: Coturnix japonica (Japanese quail)
Lineage: Eukaryota; Metazoa; Chordata; Aves; Galliformes; Phasianidae
Description: lncRNA (ENSCJPG00005020669.1)
Source: RNAcentral
CUCUGUAAUAAAUGUUAAAUCACUGGAAGCCUUUCCUGUUUAAACAGCACUGGAUGCAUCUCUGCCUGUAUUAUGAUACAUUUCCAUGUUAUUAUAUAUUCCCAGAUGUCAUUCCCAGAGCUUUACAAGCUGCUCCAGAUUGCAGGCUGCGUUUCCCACCCAGCUGCCAUGGGGCCGUGCCACCAGGGUGAAUAAUUCACCUACGUUCAGAGCACACGCCUUUACAAAGCUCUCUGUGAUUGCACUGGGCACUGUGGGAUGUAUAAAUGCAAAGAAGCCCCUGGAAAGCCCUUGGUUUAAUCUCUCGCAGUCCGUGCAGCAUUCCACGCAUCCUGGGGCCGUGGUGGAAUGAAUCCUGAAUGCUGACAUUUGUUUUGACACAUCAUCUCCCUGCAUCCCUGCCCCACGCUGCCGCGUCUUCAGCUCUUUACACGCCGCACCUGGGUCUGCACGUCUGAGAUUGGAGCUGAGGUCAUUAACCAAGUAUGUGAACUGCCUAUUUUCAAAUGAAUAGCACAUGGACUCAAUCUCUGGGCUCUCGGGCAGAAGUUCAAAAAAAUAGAGAUAUAAAACUGGGGUGAUUUACUGGGCCUUCCCUAGGCUGCAAUGAUUAAUUGUCUGAUUCACUGGUUCCUUUUUACUCUUAUGUUGAAACUUAUGUGAGAAAAUUAAAGGGAGUAUAGCAAAACUGGUUAUCUCCAAUGCCUUUGUCAUAUUGCUAAGUAGGAAAAAAUGAUACCGUGAUGAACAAAUGUUAGAUAUUAACCUUCUGAUUGCUUUCUAUGUGGCAAGGAGAGAUGCAAGCUGCACCCACCUGAUGUUCACCAGCUCUGUGUUAAACACACAAAGGAUGCAGUGUACUGUUAUGGGUAAAGAAAUGGGUUAAAUAAUCUUUUUACAUGAUCAGAAAUGGGCAGAACAGGAAAAAUGCCCAAGGCAUUGGACUCUGAGAGGACACUAUUGGCGCUGCUGUGAGUAAGCAGCUCUGGGAAAACCUGUGUGCAGC